RNAcentral lists this transfer RNA (70 nucleotides) under Dipodomys ordii (Ord's kangaroo rat). It matches the Rfam family "tRNA". From Rfam's summary of the family: Transfer RNA (tRNA) molecules are approximately 80 nucleotides in length. Their secondary structure includes four short double-helical elements and three loops (D, anti-codon, and T loops). Lineage: Eukaryota; Metazoa; Chordata; Mammalia; Rodentia; Heteromyidae. The record is from Rfam by way of RNAcentral.
GGGAAAGUAGCUCAGCGGUAGAGUGCAUGCCUUGCAAGCAUGAGGCCCUGGGUUCAAUUCCUCAGCACCA